UCGUUUUUCUUUUUUUCUUUUUUUUUCUUUUUUUUUAAAAUUUUUUUUGGUAAACAAAAGUAAGAGAAACAAUGAUGUAUAAUUCAAGCAUGCUUGGUGAUCUCAAACCAAUCACAAGGAGUCCCACCCAAAGGCAAAGGGAACUAAGAUGCUCAUGAUCCUUGAGGCUAUGCAAAUGCAAUGUUAUGAUGCCAUGAGGGAUCUUAGGGUCAAAAUUGG
Molecule: long non-coding RNA, 219 nt
Filed under: Lathyrus oleraceus (garden pea)
Lineage: Eukaryota; Viridiplantae; Streptophyta; Magnoliopsida; Fabales; Fabaceae
Description: Pisum sativum (pea) long non-coding RNA (PSAT_LNC017900)
Source: RNAcentral